AGCGAACGCUGGCGGCAGGCCUAACACAUGCAAGUCGAACGGAUCCUUCGGGAUUAGUGGCGGACGGGUGAGUAACACGUGGGAACGUGCCUUUUGGUUCGGAACAACGCAGAGAAAUUUGCGCUAAUACCGAAUGUGCCCUUCGGGGAAAGAUUAUCGCCAUUAGAGCGGCCCGCGUCUGAUUAGCUAGUUGGUGAGGUAAAGGCUCACCAAGGCUACGAUCAGUAGCUGGUCUGAGAGGAUGAUCAGCCACAUUGGGACUGAGACACGGCCCAAACUCCUACGGGAGGCAGCAGUGGGGAAUCUUGCGCAAUGGGCGAAAGCCUGACGCAGCCAUGCCGCGUGAAUGAUGAAAGGUCUUAGGAUUGUAAAAUUACUUUCACCGGGACGAUAAUGACGGUACCGGACGAAGAAG
Molecule: ribosomal RNA, 415 nt
Filed under: uncultured bacterium
Lineage: Bacteria
Description: bacterial SSU rRNA
Rfam family: Bacterial small subunit ribosomal RNA
Source: RNAcentral